Molecule: transfer RNA, 63 nt
Filed under: marine eukaryotic metagenome
Rfam family: tRNA
About the family: Transfer RNA (tRNA) molecules are approximately 80 nucleotides in length.
Source: RNAcentral
AGCUCAGCUGGUAGAGCACCCGACUCUUAAUCGGGGUGUCGAGGGUUCGAAUCCUUCAUGGCC